This 224-nucleotide ribosomal RNA is filed under the name uncultured Clostridium sp. RNAcentral describes it as "partial 16S ribosomal RNA". It matches the Rfam family "Bacterial small subunit ribosomal RNA", at positions 568 to 792 of the family's 1533-position model. Lineage: Bacteria; Bacillati; Bacillota; Clostridia; Eubacteriales; Clostridiaceae. The record is from RNAcentral.
AGCGUAGGCGGACCUUUAAGUGAGAUGUGAAAUACCCGAGCUCAACUUGGGUGCUGCAUUUCAAACUGGGGGUCUAGAGUGUCGGAGAGGUAAGUGGAAUUCCUAGUGUAGCGGUGAAUGCGUAGAGAUUAGGAAGAACACCAGUGGCGAAGGCGACUUACUGGACGAUAACUGACGCUGAGGCUCGAAAGCGUGGGGAGCAAACAGGAUUAGAUACCCUCGUA